AAAUGAAUUGACGGGGGCCCGCACAAGCAGUGGAUUAUGUGGUUUAAUUCGAAGCAACGCGAAGAACCUUACCAGGUCUUGACAUCCCCUGACCCCCAUAGAGAUAUGGGUUCCCUUCGGGGCAGGGAGACAGGUGGUGCAUGGUUGUCGUCAGCUCGUGUCGUGAGAUGUUGGGUUAAGUCCCGCAACGAGCGCAACCCUUACUGUUAGUUGCUACGCAAGAGCACUCUAACGGGACUGCCGUUGACAAAACGGAGGAAGGUGGGGACGACGUCAAAUCAUCAUGCCCUUUAUGACCUGGGCUACACACGUAAUACAAUGGCGCUCUAACAGAGGGAAGCGAAGCCGCGAGGCGGAGCAAACCCCCAAAAAGCGUCUCAGUUCGGAUCGCAGGCUGCAACUCGCCUGCGUGAAGUCGGAAUUGCUAGUAAUCGCGGAUCAUCAUGCCGCGGUGAAUACGUUCCCGGGCCUUGUACACACCGCCCGU
Molecule: ribosomal RNA, 487 nt
Filed under: uncultured bacterium
Lineage: Bacteria
Description: bacterial SSU rRNA
Rfam family: Bacterial small subunit ribosomal RNA
Source: RNAcentral